RNAcentral lists this ribosomal RNA (216 nucleotides) under Campeiostachys nutans. Its description in RNAcentral is "Elymus nutans partial small subunit ribosomal RNA". The stretch from base 40 to 216 matches the Rfam family "Eukaryotic small subunit ribosomal RNA", at positions 686 to 864 of the family's 1831-position model. Lineage: Eukaryota; Viridiplantae; Streptophyta; Magnoliopsida; Poales; Poaceae. The record is from RNAcentral.
GGGUUAGUAGGUUGGUCAUGCCUCUGGUAUGUACUGGUCUCACUGAUUCCUCCUUCCUGAUGAACCUUAAUGCCAUUAAUUUGGUGCUUUGGGGAAUUUGGACUGUUACCUUGAAAAAAUUAGAGUGUUUAAAGCAGGCAAAAUGCUUGAAUACAUUAGCAUGGAAUAAUGAAAUAGGACCUCGGUUCUAUUUUGUUGGUUUCUAGGACCGACGUA